RNAcentral lists this ribosomal RNA (3165 nucleotides) under Triticum aestivum (bread wheat). RNAcentral describes it as "partial small subunit ribosomal RNA". The record is from RNAcentral. Lineage: Eukaryota; Viridiplantae; Streptophyta; Magnoliopsida; Poales; Poaceae.
AUGGCCGAGAUGCCCCCCGUGAGGUUGCUUUUGUUGUCCCUCCUCUUCACCCUCGUGAUCGCCACGGCGAGGGACAGUGUUGGCAACCAUGAUGAUGAUGAUGGAGCCGCCUUGCUUGCUUUCAAGGUGGGUAUCAGGAGGGGCGGAAGCUCUGGCCCACUCCGCUCGUGGAACAGCAGCACCAGCUUCUGCAGCUGGGAGGGUGUGACCUGCGGCGGCGGCAGCGGCAGGGUGGUGGCGCUGGACCUGUCCUCCCAUGGGCUCGCUGGGAUGCUCCCGGCGGCCAUUGGGAACCUCACAUCGUUACGGACGCUCAACCUGAGCUUCAACUGGUUCCAUGGGGGCAUCCCGGCGAGCCUUGGCCGCCUUCAUCGUCUCCAGACGCUUGACCUGAGCUAUAACUCACUCUCCGGCACGCUGCCUGACAACAUGAGCCUCUGCACCGGCAUGACGGCCCUGGUCCUCGGCAGCAACAACCUCGGUGGGCUCAUCCCGUCCAGCCUCGGUGAUACACUGACCAACCUGAAGAAGGUCUCGCUGACGAACAACAGCUUGACAGGCGCCGUCCCAGCGUCGCUAGCCAACCUGUCGUUCCUGCAACACCUCGAUCUCUCCAUCAACCAGCUCGAGGGCUCGAUCCCACCAGGACUCAGAGGCCUCAGGAGCAUCUCUCACAUCGAUCUCUCCGCAAACGGAUUCUCCGGUGCGCUCCCAAGCUCUCUCUACAACCUGUCAUUGCUGAGGAGCCUUCAGGUUGAGGGGAACACGCUGCAAGGAAGCAUCCCUGCCGACAUCGGCGACAGGCUCCCGGCCAUGGAAAAGCUUGUCUUGUCCCGGAACAGAUUCAGCGGCGCCAUCCCUCAUUCAGUCACCAACCUCUCCUCUCUCACAGCACUUCGCCUUGGGUGGAACCAGUUUAGCGGCCACGUACCUCGCACGCUGGGGAGGUCGCAGGACCUGCGGUACCUGGAGCUGGCUGGCAACAAGCUUGAAGCAGACAACAGCAGGGGAUGGGAGUUCAUGGAUUCGCUUGCAAACUGCACCCAGCUACAGUAUCUGGCCCUCGACAACAACUCCUUCAGAGGGCAGCUGCCAGGUUCAGUCGUAAACCUCUCAACAAGUCUCGAGAAGUUUUUCAUAGGCUACAACAACAUCUCAGGGGAAAUCCCUUCAGACAUCUCCAAUCUGGCAGGCCUGAAGGUGCUGCAGGUAGCAAAUACCUCCGUGUCAGGAGCUAUUCCAGAGAGCAUCGGGAAGCUAGCAAACCUUGUCAUGUUCUUCAUGUUCAACAAUGCCUUGUCAGGCCUCGUGCCACCAUCUGUCGGGAACCUCACCAGGUUGAACUGGAUCCUCGCGUACAAUAAUAACCUGGAAGGACCAAUCCCAGCGAGCCUAGGGAAACUCAAGGACCUCAACAUUCUGGAUAUGUCCAAAAAUCGCCUGAAUGGCUCCAUUCCCAGAGAGAUCUUCAAACUGUCUUCACUUUCUAUACAACUAGACCUGUCAUACAAUUCCCUUUCUGGACCCUUGCCAUCAGAGGUUGGUAGCUUGACUAACCUUAAUUGGUUGGUACUAUCAGGAAAUCAGUUACGCGGUAGGAUACCUGAAAGUAUCUCGAGUUGCACGGUCCUGGAAUACCUGUUAUUGCAUAAUAACUCGUUUGAAGGAAGCAUACCAACAAAUUUGAAGAAUAUAAAGGGGCUCACCACGGUAAGCUUGUCAAUGAACAAGUUGUCCGGUACGAUUCCCGAUGCCUUCGAUGGAAUUGCCACUUUGAAAGAGCUGUAUCUGGCACAGAACAACUUGACUGGGUCAAUCCCAGCUGUUCUACAAAAUUUGACAUUGCUGUCGGUGCUAGAUUUGUCGUUCAAUAAUCUGGAAGGUGAAGUGCCAACUGGGGGCGUCUUUAGAAACCUAACCUAUGAAUGGGUCCAAGGAAACAGUAAGUUGUGUGGUGGAGUACAUCAGCUUCACCUGGCUCCAUGUUCCUCCUUAUACCCUGUGAGAAAUCACAAAAAGUCUCUUGUAGUACCUCUCACAGUAACAGGGUCACUCAUGCUACUAGUGUCAGUUAUUGUUAUUGUUUGGUUACUCCACAGGAAGCUCAAAGAAAGUAACAAGUUUCAUAUGCUACCUUUAACUAUUGACAAACAUCAGAGAGUGUCUUAUCAAGCAAUUUUCAACGGAACUAAUGAGUUCUCAGAGGCCAACUUACUUGGUAAAGGAAGAUAUGGUGCUGUUUACAGAUGCACCUUGGAUGAUGAGGGUACAGCUACAAGUGUGGCCGUAAAGGUGUUUGACCCCCAACAAUCAGGAUCUUCCAAGAGUUUUGAGGUUGAAUGUGAGGCCUUGAGAAGAGUGCGUCACCGAUGUAUCCUAAAAAUCAUCACCUGUUGCGCAAGCAUCAGCCCCCAAGGUCAAGAGUUCAAGGCUCUGGUUUUUGAGCUCAUGCCCAACAACAGUCUAGACAGCUGGCUUCAUCCUAAAUCCCAAGAGCGGGCUCCAUGCAGUACGCUCAGCCUAGCUCAGCGGCUGGACAUUGCUGUUGAUAUCCUGGAUGCACUGGACUAUCUUCACAACGACUGUCAACCACCGAUCAUCCACUGUGAUAUCAAGCCAAGCAACAUACUCCUCGCACAUGACAUGACUGCACGUGUUGGAGAUUUUGGCAUAGCAAGAGUUCUUCCUGAGAAUGCAAGCCAAACCAUGCUGAAUUCAACUAGCUCCACAGGAGUACGAGGUUCCAUUGGCUACAUUGCUCCAGAGUACGGUGAAGGAUCUGCUGCCUCACCUAUUGGUGAUGUUUAUAGCCUCGGUAUAUUGUUGCUUGAGAUGUUCACCGGAAGAAGCCCCACAGACGACAAGUUCAAAGGUUCACUGAAUCUGCAUAAAUUUGCUCAGGCCGCUCUUCCAAAUAAAGUCAUGGAAAUAGCCGACCCAGCAAUCUGGAUACACACAGAGGCAAAUGAUACAGGUGCAGCUGACACCGGCACUGCAAGAACAAGAACUGAGGAAUGCUUGGUUUCUGUCAUGAGUGUUGGCAUAUCCUGCUCAAUGCAACAGCCCAGAGAGCGAAUGCUGAUAAGGGAUGCAGCUUCAGAGAUGCAUGCAAUCAGAGAUGCGUACCUUAUAUUUGCCAAUUCACCGAUACAUCAGAGAGAAUAA